Molecule: long non-coding RNA, 1176 nt
Organism: Parus major (Great Tit)
Lineage: Eukaryota; Metazoa; Chordata; Aves; Passeriformes; Paridae
Source: Ensembl
AGCAGAAAAUCAAACAGGUUUGCCCAAGCUCUCAGUGAUAGAGGUUCCUUCCUGCAGCUGCACCAGCAGGUGCCAGGAGGACCCCAAGUCUCCAGAAACCUUUAGUUGAGUUGUCCUCUGGCUAGAGACAGGUCCCUGCUGGGACAAGGGAGCAGUUCCAGUGCACACCACAGAAAAGCCACGGUAUUCCCGCAGUGGGACAUCCCUCAUCCACCUGUGCUCCAGCAGGAAUGUUUACUACUGGGCUAGGCACAGGAAAACCUCUCUUCAGCAGAAAUUCCCUAAUGCACAGAGAGCUGGAAAUGAGCACCCCCAGUGUGAGGGCUGGCACAGAACUCUCCCUGGAAGAAUCCUAAAGAAUUGUGAUUUCUUACACUAUAUUACAGGUGGGAGGGAGGAACAGCCUCACAGCCAGGCAGGGAGAGCAAGUUCUGAACCCUCUCAGAAGGCUGGCACACCAGUGGCACCUGCUCUGAACCUCCUGAGGGAUGGUUGUGUAGUAGGAAAACCUACUUCCAGUGCAACAACUGACUCCAUUCCUAGCUGUGCCUGGCCAGGCCACAGCUCUUCAAUCCUCCCUGCACCUUCCUAGCCCAGGACGGGUGGGGACAUGGCCUCGGGUCAGUGUGGCAGCAGGAUGAGCCCUCAGCUGCUGUCUGAGGACAAAGACCCACCCUGGCUCUGGACUGCACUUCCAAGGUGAGGUGCAACCUGUGCUUCUGCUUGAGCAGCUCUGAGUGUCUGAGUGACUGAAAGCAGGAGCGGAACAGCAGCAGAGCAGCCCCGAGUGUGAACCCCCCCGGGAUGCUGCAGCCGUGCGUUCGCAUCCCAGCCACAGCCCUGACCAGAUUGGGCCUUUGAGAAAACUGAUGAGGGGAAAUUGCACAUUUUGAAAAGGUGGAAAGUGUGACUUAGCCUGUAAAGGCAUUUUCUGUGAAAAAUGCAGAACUGUCAAUUUUGGAUUAAAACAAAACCUGUAGUGCUAUUAACUGCGUUGAAAGGCACGGGGGAGGGAAGGGCUGUGAGGGAGGUGGUGUGCUUGGCAUGCCUGCAGUGAGGCAGAAUGGCAGAUGGUCAAAAUAAUGCAGGUUUCUCCAAAUGGACAAGCUGAGGCAGCUUAGAGAGAGAGGGGAAAAGGAAAAUAAAGAAAUAAAAUUUAAAAAAAAAAUACUAAAA